UUGAACUGGAGAAUGACUGUAAGGAAAAGGGUUAAGCACCUUCCUUCCUCUUUGGCUGCAGCCUGUCCCCAGCAAGAUUGGAGAUGUGAUAUAUACGUGUGUCGGGAAGAAUCACAGCACUCUGCUUAAUGGAUAAGUUGAGUUAGAGAGGUGACUAGUCAUUGAAGCUUGGAAGUUCUGUUUUGCAAGUUUGGAGGUGGGAAAUACCUGGCAAGAUCUUAGAAGGUGGAGGCCAUCUAAACAGUGUUGACGGCAUUCAGUCAAGGGGCCAAAAGAAAAGGAGAAUAGAACUCCAUCUGCACCUUUUAAAAAAAGAUUUCUGUACUACAAUUCCCAUCAGGGCAGAUUUCCUCAUUCCUUUUUGACAAAUUGCAGCUACCCAAGUUCUUGGGUUUGCACAACUAUUAAAAGUACAGUGGCCCAGUU
Molecule: non-coding RNA, 426 nt
Organism: Podarcis muralis (Common wall lizard)
Lineage: Eukaryota; Metazoa; Chordata; Lepidosauria; Squamata; Lacertidae
Source: RefSeq, a predicted model, not a curated record